RNAcentral lists this ribosomal RNA (362 nucleotides) under uncultured bacterium. RNAcentral describes it as "partial 16S ribosomal RNA". It matches the Rfam family "Bacterial small subunit ribosomal RNA", at positions 338 to 698 of the family's 1533-position model. The record is from RNAcentral.
CCUACGGGGGGCAGCAGUGAGGAAUAUUGGUCAAUGGGCGCAGGCCUGAACCAGCCAAGUCGCGUGAGGGAAGACUGCCCUAUGGGUUGUAAACCUCUUUUAUAAGGGAAGAAUAAUGACUACGUGUAGUCAGAUGCCCGUACCUUAUGAAUAAGCAUCGGCUAACUCCGUGCCAGCAGCCGCGGUAAUACGGAGGAUGCGAUCGUUAUCCGGAUUUAGUGGGUUUAAAGGGUGCGUAGGCGGUAAUUUAAGUUAGUGGUAAAACGUCGGGGCUUCACCUUAAUUUGCCAUUAAUACUGUAAAACUUGAGUUCAGACGAGGUAGGCGGAAUAAGGUAAGUAGCGGUGAAAUGCUUAGAUAUA